GACGGAAGGUGCAAGCGUUGCUCGGAAUCACUGGGCGUAAAGGGUGCGUAGGCGGCUUGGUGGGUCUGGUGUGAAAGCCCCGGGCUCAGCCCGGGAAGGGCGCUAGAAACUGCCGAGCUCGAGUGCCGGAGGGGGGAGUGGAAUUCCUGGUGUAGCGGUGAAAUGCGCAGAUAUCAGGAGGAACACCGGUGGCGAAGGCGGGUCUCUGGGCCGAUACUGACGCUGAGGAGCGAAAGCGUGGGGAGCGAACAGG
RNAcentral lists this ribosomal RNA (253 nucleotides) under uncultured bacterium. Its description in RNAcentral is "partial 16S ribosomal RNA". It matches the Rfam family "Bacterial small subunit ribosomal RNA", at positions 524 to 776 of the family's 1533-position model. The record is from RNAcentral.